CUUAAAGGAAUUGACGGGGGCCCGCACAAGCGGUGGAGUAUGUGGUUUAAUUCGAUGCAACGCGAAGAACCUUACCUGGUCUUGACAUCCCGGAGACCCUUAGGAAACUAGGGGGUGCUUCCAUCUGGAAGAAUCUGGAGACAGGUGCUGCAUGGCUGUCGUCAGCUCGUGUCGUGAGAUGUUGGGUUAAGUCCCGCAACGAGCGCAACCCUUGCCUUUAGUUGCCAGCAGUUCGGCUGGGCACUCUAAAGGGACUGCCGGUGUUAAACCGGAGGAAGGUGGGGAUGACGUCAAGUCCUCAUGGCCUUUAUGACCAGGGCUACACACGUACUACAAUGGCCGAUACAAAGGGCAGCGACACUGCGAGGUGAAGCCAAUCCCGUAAAAUCGGUCUCAGUCCGGAUUGGAGUCUGCAACUCGACUCCAUGAAGUUGGAAUCGCUAGUAAUCGUGGAUCAGCAUGCCACGGUGAAUACGUUCCCGGGCCUU
This 488-nucleotide ribosomal RNA is filed under the name uncultured Desulfobulbus sp. RNAcentral describes it as "bacterial SSU rRNA". It matches the Rfam family "Bacterial small subunit ribosomal RNA", at positions 900 to 1382 of the family's 1533-position model. The record is from RNAcentral. Lineage: Bacteria; Pseudomonadati; Thermodesulfobacteriota; Desulfobulbia; Desulfobulbales; Desulfobulbaceae.